This is a non-coding RNA of Oryza barthii, 183 nucleotides long. NCBI's taxonomy places the organism in Eukaryota, Viridiplantae, Streptophyta, Magnoliopsida, Poales, Poaceae. The record is from Rfam.
UUUAAAUGUAGCCAUGAAUUUCUGUGUCUAACUUUGAUCGUGCAUCUUAUUUUAAUUUUUCAUUGUUAUUAUAUAAUAAGACAUGAAUGAUACUUUAUAUGUAGUUUUUGUUUUUUAUUUUUUAAAAAAGAAUAAAUAAAAUGAAUCAUUAAAGUUGGACAUGAAAUCCUGGCUGCGCUUAAA